This 1145-nucleotide ribosomal RNA is filed under the name uncultured cyanobacterium. RNAcentral's name for it is "bacterial SSU rRNA". It matches the Rfam family "Bacterial small subunit ribosomal RNA", at positions 377 to 1533 of the family's 1533-position model. Lineage: Bacteria; Bacillati; Cyanobacteriota. The record is from RNAcentral.
CGAAGCCUGACGGAGCAAUACCGCGUGAGGGAAGAAGGCUUUUGGGUUGUAAACCUCUUUUGUCAGGGAAGAAGAAUUGACGGUACCUGAAGAAAAAGCAUCGGCUAACUCCGUGCCAGCAGCCGCGGUAAUACGGAGGAUGCAAGCGUUAUCCGGAAUCAUUGGGCGUAAAGGGUCCGCAGGUGGCGAAUAAAGUCUGCUGUUAAAGACCGGGGCUUAACUCCGGAAAGGCAGCGGAAACUGAUUAGCUAGAGUACGGUAGGGAUAGAGGGAAUUCCCAGUGUAGCGGUGAAAUGCGUAGAUAUCGGGAAGAACACCGGUGGCGAAAGCGCUCUACUAGGCCGAAACUGACACUGAGGGACGAAAGCUAGGGUAGCGAAAGGGAUUAGAUACCCCUGUAGUCUUAGCGGUAAACGAUGGAUACUAGGUGUAGCUUGUAUUGACCCGAGCUGUACCGAAGCUAACGCGAUAAGUAUCCCGCCUGGGGAGUACGCACGCAAGUGUGAAACUCAAAGGAAUUGACGGGGGCCCGCACAAGCGGUGGAGUAUGUGGUUUAAUUCGAUGCAACGCGAAGAACCUUACCAGGGCUUGACAUGUCGCGAAUCUAGCGGAAACGUUAGAGUGCCUUAGGGAAUGCGAACACAGGUGGUGCAUGGCUGUCGUCAGCUCGUGUCGUGAGAUGUUGGGUUAAGUCCCGCAACGAGCGCAACCCUCGUCCUUAGUUGCCAAUAUUAAGUUAGGCACUCUAGGGAGACUGCCGGGGACAACUCGGAGGAAGGUGGGGACGACGUCAAGUCAGCAUGCCCCUUACGUCCUGGGCGACACACGUACUACAAUGGCUGGGACAAAGGGCAGCAAGCUCGCGAGAGUAAGCGAAUCUCAUCAAACCCAGCCACAGUUCAGAUUGCAGGCUGCAACUCGCCUGCAUGAAGUAGGAAUCGCUAGUAGUCGCAGGUCAGCAUACUGCGGUGAAUUCGUUCCCGGGCCUUGUACACACCGCCCGUCACACCAUGGAAGCUGGCUACGCCCGAAGUCGUUACCCUAACCCGGUUUUGGGAGGGGGAUGCCGAAGGUAGAGCUAGUGACUGGGGUGAAGUCGUAACAAGGUAGCCGUACCGGAAGGUGUGGCUGGAUCACCUCCUUU